UUGGCCUCGGAUCAGGUAGGGAUACC
RNAcentral lists this ribosomal RNA (26 nucleotides) under Stemphylium gracilariae. RNAcentral describes it as "partial 28S ribosomal RNA". Lineage: Eukaryota; Fungi; Ascomycota; Dothideomycetes; Pleosporales; Pleosporaceae. The record is from RNAcentral.